AUGGCCUCGGCUGGUAACGGCGAGCCCCAGGACCGCGGCGGCGGCUGUAUCGGGGCCCUGGGCCGGCAGGCGGGCGGCGGGAGGCGAAGACGGACCGGGGGACCGCGCCGCGCCGCGCCAGACCCGGACUAUCUGCACCGGCCCAGCUACUGCGACGCCGCCUUCGCUCUGGAACAGAUUUCCAAGGGGAAGGCUACUGGCCGGAAAGCGCCGCUGUGGCUGCGAGCGAAGUUUCAGAGACUCUUAUUUAAACUGGGUUGUUACAUUCAAAAAAACUGCGGCAAGUUCUUGGUUGUGGGCCUGCUCAUUUUUGGGGCCUUCGCUGUGGGAUUAAAGGCAGCUAAUCUGGAGACCAACGUGGAGGAGCUGUGGGUGGAAGUUGGUGGACGAGUGAGUCGUGAAUUAAAUUAUACCCGCCAGAAGAUAGGAGAAGAAGCUAUGUUUAAUCCUCAGCUCAUGAUACAGACCCCAAAAGAAGAAGGUGCUAAUGUCCUAACCACAGAAGCGCUCUUGCAACACCUGGACUCUGCGCUCCAGGCCAGUCGAGUGCAUGUCUACAUGUACAACAGGCAAUGGAAAUUGGAACACUUGUGCUACAAGUCAGGAGAACUUAUCACAGAAACAGGUUAUAUGGAUCAGAUAAUAGAAUAUCUUUACCCUUGCUUAGUCAUUACACCUUUGGACUGCUUCUGGGAAGGGGCAAAAUUACAGUCCGGGACAGCAUACCUCCUAGGUAAACCUCCUCUGCGGUGGACAAACUUUGACCCUUUGGAAUUCCUAGAGGAGUUAAAGAAAAUAAACUAUCAAGUGGACAGUUGGGAGGAAAUGCUCAAUAAAGCUGAAGUUGGCCAUGGGUACAUGGACCGUCCCUGCCUCAACCCAGCAGACCCAGAUUGCCCCGCCACAGCCCCCAACAAAAAUUCAACCAAACCUCUUGAUAUGGCCCUUGUUUUGAAUGGUGGAUGUCAGGGAUUAUCCAGGAAGUAUAUGCGCUGGCAGGAGGAGCUGAUUGUGGGUGGCACAGUCAAGAACAGCACUGGAAAACUGGUCAGUGCCCAUGCCCUGCAGACCAUGUUCCAAUUAAUGACUCCCAAGCAAAUGUAUGAGCACUUCAAGGGCUAUGAUUAUGUCUCCCACAUUAACUGGAAUGAGGACAAAGCAGCAGCUAUCCUAGAGGCGUGGCAGAGAACGUAUGUGGAGGUGGUUCAUCAGAGUGUUGCCCCGAACUCCACUCAAAAGGUACUUUCCUUCACCACCACGACCCUGGACGACAUCCUAAAAUCAUUCUCUGAUGUCAGCGUCAUCCGAGUGGCCAGUGGCUACUUAUUGAUGCUUGCCUAUGCCUGUUUAACCAUGCUGCGCUGGGACUGCUCCAAGUCCCAGGGUGCCGUGGGGCUGGCUGGCGUCCUGUUGGUUGCACUGUCAGUGGCUGCAGGAUUGGGCCUGUGCUCAUUGAUCGGGAUUUCCUUUAACGCUGCGACAACUCAGGUUUUGCCGUUUCUUGCUCUGGGUGUUGGUGUGGAUGAUGUUUUCCUUCUGGCACACGCAUUCAGUGAAACAGGACAGAAUAAAAGGAUCCCUUUUGAGGACAGGACAGGGGAGUGCCUCAAGCGCACAGGAGCCAGCGUGGCCCUCACCUCUAUCAGCAAUGUGACUGCCUUCUUCAUGGCCGCAUUAAUCCCUAUUCCUGCUCUGCGAGCAUUCUCCCUCCAGGCUGCAGUAGUAGUGGUGUUCAACUUUGCCAUGGUGUUGCUCAUUUUUCCUGCAAUUCUCAGCAUGGACUUAUAUCGACGUGAGGACAGGAGAUUGGAUAUUUUCUGCUGUUUUACAAGCCCCUGUGUCAACAGAGUGAUUCAGGUUGAACCACAGGCCUACACAGAACCUCACAGCAACACCCGCUACAGCCCCCCACCCCCCUACAGCAGUCACAGCUUUGCCCAUGAAACACACAUCACCAUGCAGUCCACUGUUCAGCUCCGCACAGAGUACGACCCUCACACACAUGUGUACUACACUACCGCCGAGCCGCACUCCGAGAUCUCCGUGCAGCCUGUCACUGUCACCCAGGACAUCCUCAGCUGCCAGAGCCCCGAGAGUGCCAGCUCCACCAGAGAUCUGCUCUCCCAGUUCUCAGACUCCAGCCUCCACUGCUUGGAGCCCCCCUGCACCAAGUGGACACUCUCGUCAUUUGCAGAGAAACACUAUGCUCCUUUCCUCUUGAAACCCAAAGCCAAGGUUGUGGUGAUCCUCCUUUUCCUGGGCUUGCUGGGGGUCAGCCUUUAUGGGACCACCCGAGUGAGAGACGGGCUGGACCUUACAGACAUUGUCCCUCGGGAAACCAGAGAGUAUGACUUUAUUGCUGCGCAGUUCAAAUACUUUUCUUUCUACAAUAUGUAUAUAGUCACUCAGAAAGCAGACUACCCAAAUAUCCAGCAUUUACUUUAUGACCUUCACAAGAGUUUCAGCAAUGUGAAGUAUGUCAUGCUGGAAGAAAACAAUCAGCUGCCCAAGAUGUGGCUGCACUACUUCAGAGACUGGCUCCAAGGACUUCAGGAUGCGUUUGACAGUGACUGGGAAACUGGGAAGAUCAUGCCAAACAAUUACAAAAAUGGAUCUGACGAUGGGGUCCUCGCCUACAAACUCCUGGUGCAGACCGGCAGCCGGGACAAGCCUAUUGACAUCAGUCAGUUGACUAAACAGCGUCUGGUGGAUGCAGAUGGCAUCAUUAAUCCCAGCGCUUUCUACAUCUACCUGACGGCUUGGGUCAGCAAUGACCCCGUGGCUUACGCCGCCUCCCAAGUCAACAUUCGGCCUCAUCGACCAGAGUGGGUCCACGACAAAGCUGACUACAUGCCAGAAACCAGGCUGAGAAUCCCAGCAGCAGAGCCCAUUGAAUAUGCUCAGUUCCCUUUCUACCUCAACGGCCUACGAGACACCUCAGACUUCGUAGAAGCCAUUGAAAAAGUAAGAACCAUCUGCAACAACUACACGCGCCUGGGGCUGUCCAGCUACCCCAACGGCUACCCCUUCCUCUUCUGGGAGCAGUAUAUCAGCCUGCGCCACUGGCUGCUACUGGCCAUCAGUGUGGUGCUGGCCUGCACGUUUCUCGUGUGUGCAGUCUUCCUGCUGAACCCCUGGACGGCCGGGAUCAUUGUGAUGGUCCUGGCUUUGAUGACAGUUGAGCUCUUUGGCAUGAUGGGCCUCAUUGGAAUCAAGCUGAGUGCUGUACCUGUGGUCAUCCUGAUUGCGUCUGUUGGCAUCGGAGUAGAAUUCACCGUCCACGUGGCUUUGGCCUUUCUGACAGCAAUUGGUGACAAGAACCGCAGGGCCGUGCUUGCCUUGGAACACAUGUUUGCACCUGUUCUGGAUGGUGCUGUGUCCACUCUGCUGGGAGUACUGAUGCUGGCGGGGUCUGAAUUUGAUUUCAUUGUCAGGUACUUCUUUGCUGUUCUGGCGAUCCUCACCAUCCUGGGAGUUCUCAAUGGACUGGUGCUGCUUCCUGUUCUCUUAUCAUUCUUUGGACCAUGUCCUGAGGUGUCUCCAGCCAAUGGCCUGAGCCGGCUGCCCACCCCUUCACCUGAGCCACCCCCAAGUGUUGUCCGGUUUGCAGUGCCUCCUGGUCACAUGAACAAUGGGUCUGAUUCCUCUGACUCAGAGUACAGUUCUCAGACAACAGUGUCCGGCAUCAGUGAGGAGCUUAGGCACUAUGAGGCACAGCAGGGCACUGGAGGCCCUGCCCACCAAGUGAUCGUGGAAGCCACAGAAAACCCUGUCUUCGCCCGGUCCACUGUGGUCCAUCCUGAAUCGAGGCAUCACCCUCCCUCUAACCCUCGACAGCAGCCUCACCUGGACUCGGGCUUCCUGCCCUCUGGACGGCAAGACCAGCAGUCUUGCAGGGACCCCCCCAGAGAAGGCUUGCGGCCACCACCCUACAGACCGCGCAGAGACGCUUUUGAAAUUUCUACUGAAGGGCAUUCUGGCCCUAGCAAUAGGGACUGCUCGGGCCCCCGUGGGGCUCGUUCUCAUAACCCUCGGAACCUAGCGUCCACUGCCAUAGGCAGCUCCAUGCCCAGCUACUGCCAGCCCAUCACCACUGUGACGGCUUCUGCUUCUGUGACUGUUGCUGUGCAUCCCCCACCUGGGCCUGGGCGGAACCCCCGGGGGGGACCCUGCCCAGGCUAUCAGAGCUAUCCUGAAACUGACCACGGGCUGUUUGAGGACCCCCAUGUGCCUUUUCACGUCCGGUGCGAAAGGAGGGACUCAAAGGUGGAAGUUAUAGAGCUGCAGGAUGUGGAAUGUGAGGAGAGGCCGUGGGGAAGCAGCUCCAACUAAGGGUGAUUAAAAUCUGAAGCAAAGAGGCCAAAGAUUGGAAAAGCCCACCCCACCUCUUUCCAGAACUGCUUGAAGAGAACUGCUUGGAAUUAUGGGCGAGCAGUUCAAUGUUACUGUAACCAUUUGUAUUAUUUUGUUAAAUAUUUCUAUAAAUAUUUAAGAGGUGUACACAUAUGUAAUAUAUGAGGGAAUGUUGUAAAGUCUUGUAGCCUGGGACCUCUCCAUUCCUGCCCCAGAGUGGGGAGGCCACAGGGGGCCUAUCACUAUUUGUACAUUGGUCUCUGUGCUACAACCAAGCUUAACUUAGUUUUAAAUUUCCAGCAUAUGUUGCUGCUGCUUAAAUAUUGUAUAAUUUACUUGUAUAAUUCUAUGCAAAUAUUGCUUAUGUAAUAGGAUUAUUUUGUAAAGGUUUCUGUUUAAAAUAUUUUAAAUUUGCAUAUCACAACCCUGUGGUAGUAUGAAAUGAUACUGUUAACUUUCAAACACGCUAUGCGUGAUAAUUGUUUAAUGAGCAGAUAUGAAGAAAGCACGUUAAUCCCAGUGGCUUCUCUAGGGGUAGUUUUGUGCAGCUCUCAUGGGUAUGUGUGUAUGUGUGUGUGUGGACAUGUGUGAUUUCCCUAUGUACUGUACUGUGAUUUGGUGUUUGUAUCUUGUUUGUUUCUCUUUGCUGUGUGUAACCCCCAGCAGGCUCUGAUCUAGUCAAGCUGGGAAAGUCAAGGUAUCUUGAUGGUUUAGUGCUGGUAGAGCAAUAGCCCUCAUCAUCUGUCUGAUAGUCCAGGAGAGGCAAGACCAGCUUUGUGCCCUAGGUAUCUCCUGAGAUCAUUCCUGGCCCUCCAGACACCUCAUCCUGUGCUUCAAAUUGAAUAAUUCUCAUAGACCAUGAUAUGAUGUUGGGUGUUGGAACCUCAGUACAUGGAACCAAUAGUCUUUAUUUGGUGAUAAUUAGGUAGCAUGCCUGGUGGUGAGUCCCAGCAGGGCCAUGAGAUUCUCAUCUAGAAAAGUGUGAUAGUGUGCCCUUCUGCAUACAUGCACAUAUAAUCCCUACCCCAUGGCCAAAUACGGGCAGAAAAAUCUAUUUAGUUCAUUCAAAGUAAAUAGUAUGCCAAGAGAUGACACUCCAUUCCCUACAAUCUGAAUGCCCUCUCUUCCUGAGUUUCCUGGCCGCUUGGGGCUCUCUGAUGGUAAUGCAAUCAUUCGUGUAGAAUAUGAGCUUCCAAGGGUUCUCCGUGUGUUCAUUUACUCUACACUUCUUCCCUUCUCCACUGUUAGUGUCCUUUCAGUGUGAUAUCCACUGAGGAGCAGGAAGAUGUUGCCUGACAGAAGCACAUGUAUGGAGGUGGAUCUCUGAGCCAGGCUCUAGUUUUUAGAGCUUGAUUCUAUUCUCUUGCCCCCAAGGUUUGGGCUUCUUCACCUCUUUGGCCAGAGACCAGUAGAUGAGGAGGCAGUAUACAGUACCCCUUCCAAAUAAGCACCCAGAAAUUGUCCAAGAGGAAAGGGCCUGGUGUCUAUGGCUGCAGCCCUCAAAGUUACUGUGAGGAGCACUCCAGUGACAGCUCCCAUGAUUCCCUCCUGUCUGUCCUACAUGGAUAAUCUUAAGAGAAGGCAAUGGGCUUCUAAUAGUGCCAGCAGUCCAGUGACCUCAGACCCUAAAACUCACCCCCAAACUGUAGAGUACUAAUUGGAAGCCAUUUGUGGCUGCUAGGUGUGUGUGUGUGUGUGUGUGUGUGUGUGUGUGUGUGUGUGUGUGUGUUUAUGCUCACACGCAUGUGCCAGGGGCCCUGGCCACCUAUUGCUACUGUCUUGAUGCCUAUCAGCCACUGUCUGCCUUUCCAAGUUCUGCUGAGAGAACUUGCAUCCUGAGUUGAGGGAGGUACAAAAUUCUGAGGCCACCUCCCUGUGGCUCUCGGUUGUGCCCUCACUCCUGAGUCCGUAGCUCAUGGGCAAGAGGAAGCGUGUACAGCCCCUUUCUUGAUUUCUAUACAGUGUAGAUAUUUCUCCAUGAGUCACAUUGGCCAAGGCUGGACACAGAGCUGGCAGGCAUCUACAGUCUGAAUCAGUGUCUCCCCUGUCCUCUCUCUUCUCACUCGUCUCUCUUGCUGUCUCUCUUGCUCGCUCGUAUUUUUAUUUUGUCUGUAUUGUUUGUUCAUUUGAGUGUUUUAAUUUUUUUAAAAACGAUCUUUGCUGAUAUUUAUAAUUUUGUAUCAUAAGAAUGUGUUCCUCCAGUAUUUGUCAUGCCAGUUUAUAACAAGAAAUGCAGGGAUUUUAUUUCUGUUGGAAACACUAUUACAGUUAUGUUUUACUUUUGAACAGAAUUUUUAUUUGUAUAGAGUGCUUACUAAUGUUAAAUAGUUCAGAGUAUAUAACAUUGACAUUAAGGACUCAUGGUAGGUUUUAGUGUAAGAAGUUUAAAGGAAAUAUUCAAACUGGGUCUCAUCUGCCAAUUUGGGUGGAAAUGAGCUUGUGUCAUUUCAAUUACAAAGAUAAAAGUAUGCCAUAUAAUUUAUUUAUAUGAAAAUUUAUUUUUGUAGUGUACAUAGUAGGCAUCAAGUCUUUUGACAGAAGUAUAUUUUUAAAGAAUUUAUAUGUGAUGAAUCCGUAAUGUCUGGAACUUUGCUGAGACACGAGUGAGGGCACUUCAUUGUAAAUUACAAGGAAGAAGAGAUGUUUAACAGUGUUAAGAGAGUGGAAGUGAGUGGCUCUCCAUGUGAUUGGGAAGUAUUGAUUAGUGAGCAUUGUGGCCUAGUGUGGUUCUCAUUCUAAACCUUGGAAGGUGAAAGAAAAUGUACAAACUCUCUAAAUAUUAAUGUUCAAACACUGAUAGAAAUUCUAACAUGAAUAAAAAUAAUAUAACUUGUUGGUUA
This is an RNA transcript of Nannospalax galili (Upper Galilee mountains blind mole rat), 7193 nucleotides long. It is a transcript of the gene named patched 1, with no coding region annotated. NCBI's taxonomy places the organism in Eukaryota, Metazoa, Chordata, Mammalia, Rodentia, Spalacidae. The transcript has 25 exons. The record is from RefSeq and is a predicted model, not a curated record.